UGUGCUUGAAGAGUAUGAAUCCACCAAUACAUUAAGUGGGAUGAGAAGAUUUUUGUUAGGACACAUAACAGAGACAUGGGAGGAGUCCAACUUCAAUGUAGAGAGAGAUCAGUACGCACUUGGAAUUAUGACUUUGUCGCUGACGUUAAAAGACCAAUUUUCCAGUCACUGUAGCCACCCAGAUCCAGACUGUAUCCAGGUCAAAUGGUCACUGCAGGUACCCGGAUAUAGUCCGUACCCAGCCCAGAUAGUGGAUCAGCACCUAGAGAUGAUCUCUACAGCCCUGAAUGUCAGCGGAGACCAGGACAAAUAGAUGAGCGCCAGAGACUGAUCCCAUCUGAAGACCUUGUCACCUAGAUGGCGAUCCGGACAAGACCACAGGAACCAGAUGAGUUCUCUGCACAAACUUUGUUGCAAGUGAGAAUGUAUAUCUUGCUUGGCUGAAAACUGCAGAGAAACGCAUCUUGUCAUGCUGAAAACAAAAAAUGAGACUAUACUCUCUUCAAGGAGGUCCAAACACCAUUAGCAAAGACUGUUGUUGUCAUUAUAAACCUUAUGACAU
Molecule: long non-coding RNA, 562 nt
Organism: Labeo rohita (rohu)
Lineage: Eukaryota; Metazoa; Chordata; Actinopteri; Cypriniformes; Cyprinidae
Exons: 4
Source: RefSeq, a predicted model, not a curated record